AUACGUAGGGUGCAAGCGUUAAUCGGAAUUACUGGGCGUAAAGCGUGCGCAGGCGGUUUUGUAAGACAGAGGUGAAAUCCCCGGGCUCAACCUGGGAACUGCCUUUGUGACUGCAAGGCUAGAGUACGGCAGAGGGGGAUGGAAUUCCGCGUGUAGCAGUGAAAUGCGUAGAUAUGCGGAGGAACACCGAUGGCGAAGGCAAUCCCCUGGGCCUGUACUGACGCUCAUGCACGAAAGCGUGGGGAGCAAACAGGAUUAGAUACCCUGGUAGUCCACGCCCUAAACGAUGUCAACUGGUUGUUGGGUCUUAACUGACUCAGUAACGAAGCUAACGCGUGAAGUUGACCGCCUGGGGAGUACGGCCGCAAGGUUGAAACUUAAAGGAAUUGACGGGG
Molecule: ribosomal RNA, 395 nt
Filed under: uncultured bacterium
Lineage: Bacteria
Description: partial 16S ribosomal RNA
Rfam family: Bacterial small subunit ribosomal RNA
Source: RNAcentral